Molecule: ribosomal RNA, 321 nt
Filed under: Triticum aestivum (bread wheat)
Lineage: Eukaryota; Viridiplantae; Streptophyta; Magnoliopsida; Poales; Poaceae
Description: partial small subunit ribosomal RNA
Source: RNAcentral
AUGCUACAUGCAAUUGAGAGCAAUGCCCCAGAUAUCUCUAGUGUAGACCUUGGACUUGGCGACCAAGUGGAUUUCUCACUCUCACUGGGAGAUGGUUCAUCUCAAGUGAAGCAGCUCCGAAUAUCACCUGCAUCCCCAAGUUAUGCUCUCGGCAAGCUUCCAUCAAUUACACUCGCUCUUGAAGCCCUUAACAUAUCGUUGUUGCCACACGAGCAGGUGAGCACACCAAUGGUGCCUGGAAAAUUCCACCACCUCAAGUACUUGAAUAUUUCUCUUCCGCUGUCUCGGCAGCAGAUGAAUAUGAUUAUUUGUCUCUGUUAG